GUCGCAGAGUCAGAAUACGACAUUUGGACGUUGGGAGAAUCUUGACACUUUUUUUACAUAAAAAUUUCCAAAUGAUGCGUCUUGAUAAGAUUUGAGUUUUUUUUCAAACAAAUGUAUAAAAGACAAAUAAACUAAAACGUCAAUCAGAAAUGUGUGUAAGCUUACUGACUGUGUGUGUGUGUGUGCGUGUGUGUGUACAGCUGACGGCAACCCUGUCGAGAAAGACUCUCUGAUAACACCACCGAUGGAAGAAGGAGCAAAGACGUCCCUGAACGGCUCGGACUCUGGCGUCUCCGUCUGAAGCAAAAGAUCUAAAUGAUCUAUGAGAGUGGGAGGCCGUUGACAUCCAAACAGCAGCUGUGGGAUGUUAUUCUGACACCCUGCAAAGAAAAUCAAGGAUAAAGUCUGCAAAACCUCACAAGUUCAAAGGAUGAAAGAAUGGUGAAUCUGCUGUAAAUCAGGUUUCCUAUGUUAAAAUGAUGUUUUUUAUUUCAGUAAACACGACCUCCUGAUGCUGCAAAUUCAACAAAUUAUAAAAUGUUUCGAAACUCUUUCUCUGUUCAUAAUAGUUUGGAACAGUGCAGCGCACACGUUUUUUAUUUUUGAAAAAAAUAAUGUUAUCAUUGGGAGGUUUGUUCAAUUACAUUCAAAUUAUAUUCUCAAUACUGGAAAUUAUGCCGACUGUCAUUUGCAUCAGCUAUUUAGGAAAAUCAGAGAAAAAUGUAAUUUGUGUAAUAAUUUGGAAUGAGGUGUGAAGACUGUAAAUAUACAAGAUUAUAAAGAUAUAUAAACCCUAAAUAUCUAGGUAUACAUAUACAAAUAUAGUAAGUACUAAAGAUUUAAGUCUAAACAAUAUAAUAAACAGCAGCAAGUAACAACAACAAGGACAGUGAGUUGUCGAUGAUAGCAGUAAAAACACAGUGUGUCUGUGGUGAUGAUUGUAUACACCCGUGUUGUGGUGUUGCUUCUUCUGUCCUACUGUGGAAUCUGAUUUAUGUUAAUAUUUAGGAGUUUCCCAUAUUUCUCAAGGAUUAAAUCCAUAUUUUAUUUGCAAUUUGUUCAUUUUUGAUUUUGCUUGAUUCAUAAAGUGUUUGAAAAUAUUAACACAAAUUUAAUUCAUACUGAACCAAAAAUGAUGUAAAAAAAAAAAAAUCAUUUAAUCUCAGAUUUUAUGCCGUUUUAUUUGUUUCUUUCAAAAAUACUUCCGGUAUAUUAUAGAAACAUUGAGCCAGGUUUUUUCAAUUACAUUUACACGCAGACGUAGAGACAAACAAAGAUUUCAGUUUCUCUUGUAACGAGAUCAAAUUUUCA
Long non-coding RNA from Solea senegalensis (Senegalese sole), 1311 nucleotides. RefSeq lists it as uncharacterized. The record is from RefSeq and is a predicted model, not a curated record. NCBI's taxonomy places the organism in Eukaryota, Metazoa, Chordata, Actinopteri, Pleuronectiformes, Soleidae. The transcript has 2 exons.